This 497-nucleotide ribosomal RNA is filed under the name uncultured bacterium. RNAcentral describes it as "partial 16S ribosomal RNA". It matches the Rfam family "Bacterial small subunit ribosomal RNA", at positions 28 to 507 of the family's 1533-position model. The record is from RNAcentral.
GAUGAACGCUGGCGGCGUGCCUAAUACAUGCAAGUCGAGCGAACAGACGAGGAGCUUGCUCCUCUGAUGUUAGCGGCGGACGGGUGAGUAACACGUGGAUAACCUACCUAUAAGACUGGGAUAACUUCGGGAAACCGGAGCUAAUACCGGAUAACAUGUUGAACCGCAUGGUUCAACAGUGAAAGACGGUCUUGCUGUCACUUAUAGAUGGAUCCGCGCCGCAUUAGCUAGUUGGUAAGGUAACGGCUUACCAAGGCAACGAUGCGUAGCCGACCUGAGAGGGUGAUCGGCCACACUGGAACUGAGACACGGUCCAGACUCCUACGGGAGGCAGCAGUAGGGAAUCUUCCGCAAUGGGCGAAAGCCUGACGGAGCAACGCCGCGUGAGUGAAGAAGGUCUUCGGAUCGUAAAACUCUGUUAUUAGGGAAGAACAAGUGUGUAAGUAACUAUGCACGUCUUGACGGUACCUAAUCAGAAAGCCACGGCUAACUACGUG